GUCUUUUAGAUUAUAAUUUAAAGUCUAACCUGCCCAAUGAUUAUUUAAAUGGCCGCAGUAUAUUGACUGUGCAAAGGUAGCAUAAUAAUUAGUUUUUUAAUUGAAAGCUGGUAUGAAAGGUUGAACGAGAAAAUUACUGUCUCAAUUUAAUUUUAUUAUAAUUUUAUUUUUUAGUUAAAAAGCUAAAAUUUAUUUUAAAGACGAGAAGACCCUAUAGAGUUUUAUAUUUAAUUUAUAUAGUUUUUAGUAAUUUAAUAUAAAGUAUAAUAUUUUAUUGGGGUGAUAAAUAAAUUUAAUAAACUUUAUUUUUUAAAAACAUUAAUUUAUGAUUAAUUGAUCCAUUUAAAUGAUUAAAAGAUUAAAUUACCUUAGGGAUAACAGCGUAAUUUUUUUAAAGAGUUCUAAUCGAAAAAAAAGAUUGCGACCUCGAUGUUGGAUUAAAAUUAAAAUUUGGUGUAGAAGCU
This 464-nucleotide ribosomal RNA is filed under the name Limnebius atomus. RNAcentral describes it as "partial 16S ribosomal RNA". Lineage: Eukaryota; Metazoa; Arthropoda; Insecta; Coleoptera; Hydraenidae. The record is from RNAcentral.